RNAcentral lists this ribosomal RNA (316 nucleotides) under uncultured fungus. RNAcentral's name for it is "bacterial LSU rRNA". Lineage: Eukaryota; Fungi. The record is from RNAcentral.
GAGAACCUAGAGAUCCAGGGAAGGGAGUGAUAAUGGAAAUUCAUCAUCGAGGGGCAAACAGCGACAAAGCCACUGAGAGACACCCAUACAGAGGAGGGAAGAAGUAGAAAUAGGAAGGGGUAAAAAAAGGGGAGGAGCACGAGCGUGGAGAAAACCAGCUCAUGCAUCCCAGGACUGCAGUACAAAAUAGUAAUGCAGUCAAUGUGAAGAAAGAAUUCAGAGGUGGGAGCCACAGCCACGAGUCAUUCGGUCGAACCAGACCUUGCAGUCCAGAAACCACCGAAGAUCGGGUUGGGGUUGGAUGUUAAUGAUCCCU